CGUAGGGGGCAAGCGUUGUCCGGAUUUAUUGGGCGUAUAGAGCGUGUAGGCGGCCAGGUAGGUCGGUUGUGAAAACUCGAGGCUCAACCUCGAGAUGUCGACCGAAACCAUCUGGCUAGAGUCCGGAAGAGGAGAAUGGAAUUCCCGGUGUAGCGGUGAAAUGCGCAGAUAUCGGGAAGAACACCCGUGGCGAAGGCGGUUCUCUGGGACGGUACUGACGCUGAGACGCGAAAGCGUGGGGAGCGAACAGGAUUAGAUACCCUGGUAGUCCACGCCGUAAACGAUGGGAACUAGGUGUGGGCGGUGUCGACUCCGUCCGUGCCGAAGCUAACGCAUUAAGUUCCCCGCCUGGGGAGUACGGCCGCAAGGCUA
Molecule: ribosomal RNA, 372 nt
Filed under: uncultured organism
Description: bacterial SSU rRNA
Rfam family: Bacterial small subunit ribosomal RNA
Source: RNAcentral